UACGUAGGGGGCAAGCGUUGUCCGGAUUUAUUGGGCGUAAAGAGCGUGUAGGCGGCCAGACAGGUCCGUUGUGAAAACUCGAGGCUCAACCUCGAGACGCCGAUGGAAACCGUCUGGCUAGAGUCCGGAAGAGGAGAGUGGAAUUCCUGGUGUAGCGGUGAAAUGCGCAGAUAUCAGGAAGAACACCCGUGGCUAAGGCGGCUCUCUAGUACGGUACUGACGCUGAGACGCGAAAAGCGUGGGGGAGCGAACAGG
RNAcentral lists this ribosomal RNA (255 nucleotides) under uncultured bacterium. Its description in RNAcentral is "partial 16S ribosomal RNA". It matches the Rfam family "Bacterial small subunit ribosomal RNA", at positions 524 to 776 of the family's 1533-position model. The record is from RNAcentral.